RNAcentral lists this transfer RNA (74 nucleotides) under Rattus norvegicus (Norway rat). It matches the Rfam family "tRNA". From Rfam's summary of the family: Transfer RNA (tRNA) molecules are approximately 80 nucleotides in length. Their secondary structure includes four short double-helical elements and three loops (D, anti-codon, and T loops). The record is from Rfam by way of RNAcentral. Lineage: Eukaryota; Metazoa; Chordata; Mammalia; Rodentia; Muridae.
UGGUGUGUAGCUCAGUGAUGGGGCAUCUGUCUGCUAUACAUAAUGCCUCCUGGGUCUGAUCCCCAGCACAACAA